RNAcentral lists this ribosomal RNA (261 nucleotides) under Salmonella enterica subsp. enterica serovar Muenchen. RNAcentral describes it as "partial 16S ribosomal RNA". It matches the Rfam family "Bacterial small subunit ribosomal RNA", at positions 997 to 1258 of the family's 1533-position model. Lineage: Bacteria; Pseudomonadati; Pseudomonadota; Gammaproteobacteria; Enterobacterales; Enterobacteriaceae. RNAcentral also lists the same sequence under 11 other names. The record is from RNAcentral.
UUUCCAGAGAUGGAUUGGUGCCUUCGGGAACUGUGAGACAGGUGCUGCAUGGCUGUCGUCAGCUCGUGUUGUGAAAUGUUGGGUUAAGUCCCGCAACGAGCGCAACCCUUAUCCUUUGUUGCCAGCGAUUAGGUCGGGAACUCAAAGGAGACUGCCAGUGAUAAACUGGAGGAAGGUGGGGAUGACGUCAAGUCAUCAUGGCCCUUACGACCAGGGCUACACACGUGCUACAAUGGCGCAUACAAAGAGAAGCGACCUCGC